UGGACUCCAUUUAUUUUUCUCUUUUUAUCUUUUUGUCCAUCUUUACGCUUUUUUUUUCUUCUUCUUUUCUUUGUUGUUUUUAUUUUAUUUUAUUUACUCAAUAGAAAUACCUGCAAAAUAAACAAAAUUAGAAAGAAAUAAAAAAGGAUGGAUUGCCUCCUACCAAACGCUUUCUUUUACGUCAUUGAGCUUGACGCUUCAACC
This 204-nucleotide long non-coding RNA is filed under the name Medicago truncatula (barrel medic). RNAcentral's name for it is "long non-coding RNA (MTRU_LNC001521)". Lineage: Eukaryota; Viridiplantae; Streptophyta; Magnoliopsida; Fabales; Fabaceae. The record is from RNAcentral.